GACGGAGGUCCCAAGCGCUGUUCGGAAUCACUGGGCUUAAAGCGCGUGUAGGCGGGUUGGUACGUACCUUGUGAAAUCCCUUGGCUCAACCAAGGAACUGCUUGGUAUACGGCCGGUCUUGAGGCAGGUAGGGGCGCCUGGAACCUUAGGUGGAGCGGUGAAAUGCGUAGAUAUCUAAGGGAACGCCGGUGGCGAAAGCGGGGCGCUGGGCCUGUCCUGACGCUAAGACGCGAAAGCGUAGGGAGCAAACGGG
RNAcentral lists this ribosomal RNA (253 nucleotides) under uncultured bacterium. RNAcentral's name for it is "partial 16S ribosomal RNA". It matches the Rfam family "Bacterial small subunit ribosomal RNA", at positions 524 to 776 of the family's 1533-position model. The record is from RNAcentral.